GUCCACGCCGUAAACGUUGGGCGCUAGGUGUGGGGUUCUUCCACGGAUUCCGCGCCGUAGCUAACGCAUUAAGCGCCCCGCCUGGGGAGUACGGCCGCAAGGCUAAAACUCAAAGGAAUUGACGGGGGCCCGCACAAGCGGCGGAGCAUGUUGCUUAAUUCGACGCAACGCGAAGAACCUUACCAAGGCUUGACAUUGCCGGAAAACCAUCAGAGAUGGUGGGUCCUUUUGGGCCGGUGACAGGUGGUGCAUGGCUGUCGU
This 261-nucleotide ribosomal RNA is filed under the name uncultured bacterium. Its description in RNAcentral is "partial 16S ribosomal RNA". It matches the Rfam family "Bacterial small subunit ribosomal RNA", at positions 793 to 1055 of the family's 1533-position model. The record is from RNAcentral.